UCCCUGGUAGUCCAGUUGUUAGGACUCAGCGCUUUCAGUGCUGGGGCCUGGGUUCGAUCCUUGGUUGGGGAA
This 72-nucleotide transfer RNA is filed under the name Bos taurus (domestic cattle). It matches the Rfam family "tRNA". Rfam says of the family: Transfer RNA (tRNA) molecules are approximately 80 nucleotides in length. RNAcentral also lists the same sequence under 4 other names. Lineage: Eukaryota; Metazoa; Chordata; Mammalia; Artiodactyla; Bovidae. The record is from Rfam by way of RNAcentral.